CCUCAGUCUCUCAAAGUGCUGGGAUUAUAGACAUAAGCCACCGCGCCCAGCCACAAUUAACAUUUUUAUUAACUCUGGUGAUUAAUUAGAAUCACUAAACCAGAAUCAUAGUUUAUUUAAUCAAUGCAGGUUGUUUUCUACAUGACUACCUCAUCUUUAACUUCUGUAUUAAUAAAGAAUUUGCACUUUCACUAUUCUCAGUCAUGGUAUGACUCAAUGUACUAGAACUGACUUAGUAUCCUCCUUGCAAAAAGUAAUGCAAGUUGGAACAAAGCCCAUAAGGCAACAUUUACCACCUAGAACAAUCAAAACAAAUAUUUUAACAGCAAUAGGUUUGUGGAGGACAGAAAGUCCUAGUGGCUAGAACAGUGGUGAUUAGAAAAGCAGUGGUUAGAACUUUUUUUUUUUUUUUAAUGAAAAAGAUGGGAGGGAAGAUGGCCACUAAAUUGUAUUUGAAACCAACAGAAUGAUCUAUCUGCUCUGGGGUCCAUGGAGAGGGAAGAGAGUGCAGAUUAUGAACUGGGAAGGCAGAAGACAGAAAGAUGAUCAGUUGGAAACAAACUGAAGGAGUGUGUUGGCUAGCAACACAUAACGAGAGUAGCGGCAGGCUUCUGACCUUGACGGUGACAGAGCCUUGUUCUCUUGUGUAAUCUGUCAGUUCUCUCUCCCUCUUACGGGAGACCAGCCUGUCUGGGAAAAAGUCACUUCGCUACCAGUGCCUCUGAGCACACGGCCAAAUUUCCCCAACCUCCUCUCUGAUCAGCUUCUGCUUCUUUUUGUAACACUAAGUGGGUUGGGGAAGCCCCUGGAGGCUGAGGGCUGUCAUAGACAUCUGUGUGAGGACUCCCAGGGGCCGAGGGAGCUGUGAGGAGGGACACAGAGACUGGGCUGACACCAGGUGCUUACCAUUAUCAUGUUUGGUGACUUGAUUCUGCAGUCAUGAAGAGAUGGGAACAUGACAUUAGAACAGGAGACAGCCACUGCAGGAAGGGGCUGGCAUAUUGACAACAGUUCCCAACGCUGAGAGGAACAGAGACCAACCACAGUGAGAAGAUGCAAAGGUUUUAGAGGCAGAAAGACUCCAAAGGCUCUAUCACUUAGUAAUUAUAGGAUUUGGGGCAAGUUAUUUGACCUCCUUGAGCUUGUUUCCUCAUCCACAGAAUGGAAAAAAUACCUUGUGAAGAACAGAGAUAAUGCAUGUAAAAUUCCUUGCAUAUAAUUGGCCCUUAAUAAAUGGCAGCUAGAGUUAGAAUUUUAACUGAAUGAACACAGAUACAAGGAGCCUUUUAACUGAAGCAAAGAUAAUUAAACAUCUAAAUAGAGCA
This is a long non-coding RNA of Cercocebus atys (sooty mangabey), 1325 nucleotides long. RefSeq lists it as uncharacterized. The record is from RefSeq and is a predicted model, not a curated record. The transcript has 2 exons. NCBI's taxonomy places the organism in Eukaryota, Metazoa, Chordata, Mammalia, Primates, Cercopithecidae.